RNAcentral lists this ribosomal RNA (899 nucleotides) under uncultured archaeon. RNAcentral's name for it is "bacterial SSU rRNA". It matches the Rfam family "Archaeal small subunit ribosomal RNA", at positions 1 to 878 of the family's 1478-position model. The record is from RNAcentral.
CUCCGGUUGAUCCCGCCGGACCCGACUGCUAUCGGAUUGAGAUUUAGCCAUGCGAGUCGAACGUCCCCCUGUUGCGGGGGGCGUGGCGUACGGCUCAGUAACACGUAGUCAACCUGCCCUGGAGACAAGGACAACCCCGGGAAACUGGGAUUAAUCCUUGAUAGGUCAUCUCAUCUGGAAGGAGAGAUGGCUUAAAGGGGUACGCGGGCUUCUUCCGCGAAUCUGCUCCAGGAUGGGACUGCGUCCGAUCAGGCUGUUGGCGGGGUAAUGGCCCACCAAACCUGUAACCGGUACGGGCCUUGAGAGAGGUGGCCCGGAGAUGGACACUGAGAGAAGGGUCCAGGUCCUACGGGGCGCAGUAGGCGCGAAACCUUCGCAAUGCGCGAAAGCGUGACGAGGUUAAUCCGAGUGACUCCCGCUGAGGGGGUCUUUUGUCAGCUGUAAAUAGGCAGGCGAAUAAGGGGAGGGCAAGCCUGGUGUCAGCCGCCGCGGUAAUACCAGCACCUCGAGUGGUCAGGACGUUUAUUGGGCCUAAAGCAUCCGUAGCCGGCUUUGCAAGUCUCCGGUUAAAUCCACCUGCUCAACAGAUGGGCUGCUGGAGAUACUACAAAGCUAGGGAGUGGGAGAGGCAGACGGUAUUCAGUGGGUAGGGGUAAAAUCCUCUGAUCCAUCGAGGACCACCAGUGGCGAAGGCGGUCUGCCAGAACACGUUCGACGGUGAGGGAUGAAAGCUGGGGGAGCAAACCGGAUUAGAUACCCGGGUAGUCCCAGCUGUAAACGAUGCAAACUCGGUGAUGCAUUGGCUUAUGGCCAAUGCAGUGCCGCAGGGAAGCCGUUAAGUUUGCCGCCUGGGAAGUACGGACGCAAGUCUGAAACUUAAAGGAAUUGGCGGGGGAGCA